RNAcentral lists this long non-coding RNA (872 nucleotides) under Anser brachyrhynchus (Pink-footed goose). RNAcentral describes it as "lncRNA (ENSABRG00000009110.1)". The record is from RNAcentral. Lineage: Eukaryota; Metazoa; Chordata; Aves; Anseriformes; Anatidae.
AUUUGUACAAGCUAACUUCCAUGGAAGCUGCCUCCAAUAAUAAUCCUGCCUCCUGACAGAUGUGCCUGGGAGGGAAAACACAAAUCUUUGCAUUUCAGAAGUGCCCAUUCACAGCACUAGCCCUAAAGGCUGCUAAUUCCCUUAAACUCUUCAUGUCUUGCACAAAGGAGCACCAAUUAUUGGCCAAAUUCUGUUCUCAACCUCAACCAUCCAAGAAACAAAGAGGGAGAUGUUGAACCCCACAAAAUCAAUGGCAAAAUUCCCACUGGUAUCAGUAAAUGAAGGAUUUUACUGAAAUUUGCAUAUACUUUUAUUCUUGUAUGGGUAAGAGUUUCUGUUUGUGGAUUUGAAAGUGUUUCAGAGCAAUGACCGUGUUUCCUACUGCUUUUGAGAUGCAGGUGAUGCCAGCAGCUAAUGGCAAGAGAAGGUAGGAUCCAGCCUGCUCACCUGAUGCGCUGUAAGAAGAGAGUACAUUGGCAGGAGGAGCUGCACUUGACCUCAAGUCAUCAACACCAGAGUGUAUGGCUGCUUGAUGGGUGAUUCAGUUUGGGAAAACAGAAAUAGAAGAGAAAAACUGCAAGAUAGACCAUGCCUCACUGUCUGGUUUGCUCUGAAGAGAAAGCAACACAGAGAUGCCACCCAGCCAAGUCAACCUACAGAUGCGAGCAGGUAAAGUGACCCACAUUCUCCUCUCUGACACAUCACGCGCUGCAUUGCCCAUGCACAAAGCGUGCAAUCAAUUUUUCCCCCACUGCAUGCCAACAAAAACACGGAGGCAACCUGAAUUGCACAGACUGGAGAAGAAGCAGCCUCCCCUCCUCCUGGACCAGCAAGCAGAUGGCAGAAAAGCAGCACCAUUUUGCAGCUCGAGG